Non-coding RNA from Armillaria borealis, 84 nucleotides. Lineage: Eukaryota; Fungi; Basidiomycota; Agaricomycetes; Agaricales; Physalacriaceae. The record is from the annotation of a GenBank genome assembly.
UCUCUGGUAGUAUAUCGGUUAGUACACGCGCCUGUCAUUUGUUGAUUUUCGCGCGAAAGCUGGGUUCGACUCCCAGCCAGAGAG